AGCUCAGUAGGGGAGAGAGGACACAGAUCACAGAUGCUGUCUACCAGGAGGUCACAAAGUAUACAUAUUACCCAAAAGAGUGGCAGUACACCGAGGUGGUCACAGCCUUCAUGGAGAAGUUUCCCAAGGUGAAAUCCAAUGAAAAUUUGUCAAUGAGUCUGUGGCGUCAACGGAUUCAAUAUAGGUUUCAAAAUGACCGAAGGCGUAGAGAUUGUGUGCC
Long non-coding RNA from Patiria miniata (bat star), 220 nucleotides. RefSeq lists it as uncharacterized. The transcript has 3 exons. NCBI's taxonomy places the organism in Eukaryota, Metazoa, Echinodermata, Asteroidea, Valvatida, Asterinidae. The record is from RefSeq and is a predicted model, not a curated record.